Molecule: ribosomal RNA, 620 nt
Filed under: uncultured Bacilli bacterium
Lineage: Bacteria; Bacillati; Bacillota; Bacilli
Description: bacterial SSU rRNA
Rfam family: Bacterial small subunit ribosomal RNA
Source: RNAcentral
UUGGAUGAGUUGCGAACGGGUGAGUAACGCGUAGGUAACCUGCCUUGUAGCGGGGGACAACUAUUGGAAACGAUAGCUAAUACCGCAUAACAAUGGGUGACACAUGUCAUUUAUUUGAAAGGGGCAAUUGCUCCACUACAAGAUGGACCUGCGUUGUAUUAGCUAGUAGGUGAGGUAACGGCUCACCUAGGCGACGAUACAUAGCCGACCUGAGAGGGUGAUCGGCCACACUGGGACUGAGACACGGCCCAGACUCCUACGGGAGGCAGCAGUAGGGAAUCUUCGGCAAUGGGGGCAACCCUGACCGAGCAACGCCGCGUGAGUGAAGAAGGUUUUCGGAUCGUAAAGCUCUGUUGUAAGUCAAGAACGAGUGUGAGAGUGGAAAGUUCACACUGUGACGGUAGCUUACCAGAAAGGGACGGCUAACUACGUGCCAGCAGCCGCGGUAAUACGUAGGUCCCGAGCGUUGUCCGGAUUUAUUGGGCGUAAAGCGAGCGCAGGCGGUUUGAUAAGUCUGAAGUUAAAGGCUGUGGCUCAACCAUAGUUCGCUUUGGAAACUGUCAAACUUGAGUGCAGAAGGGGAGAGUGGAAUUCCAUGUGUAGCGGUGAAAUGCGUAGAU